This 360-nucleotide long non-coding RNA is filed under the name Carica papaya (papaya). Its description in RNAcentral is "long non-coding RNA (CPAP_LNC016067)". Lineage: Eukaryota; Viridiplantae; Streptophyta; Magnoliopsida; Brassicales; Caricaceae. The record is from RNAcentral.
UUAAAAAAAUUAGAAAUAAGGGGUCAAACUGCAAAUAAAAAAAGUUUACCCAUGUAGGACCGCUCAGUCAGAAGCCUUGACGAACCGGAGCAUGCCGAGUGGUAAGGCAUGCUGAAGUCGAUGCACGCGGACGAUCUGCGUGCUCCGUGAUCGGACGACCCACGAUAGAUCCCGCGCACGUGAACGGUCUGAAUUUAUUUUGCCAUUAGACGCGAUCGAACGAUUGAGAUCAAUCAUGAUGGAAGGUAUAAAUUCGUUUUUUCUUUACGCACGAUUAGACGAACAAGAUCAAUUGUGAUGAACAGUCUAGAUCAAUGCAUGAUGUGUAUAAAUACUUCACAUUGCAUGAAAACCCAAACU